GACAUAGGUCGCAAACGUUAUCCGGAAUUACUGGGCGUAAAGCGCACGUAGGCGGCUUUCUAAGUCGGGGGUGAAAUCCUGGAGCUCAACUCCAGAACUGCCUUCGAUACUGGAAAGCUCGAGUCCGGGAGAGGUGAGUGGAACUGCGAGUGUAGAGGUGAAAUUCGUAGAUAUUCGCAAGAACACCAGUGGCGAAGGCGGCUCACUGGCCCGGUACUGACGCUGAGGCACGAAAGCGUGGGGAGCAAACAGG
Molecule: ribosomal RNA, 253 nt
Filed under: uncultured bacterium
Lineage: Bacteria
Description: partial 16S ribosomal RNA
Rfam family: Bacterial small subunit ribosomal RNA
Source: RNAcentral